This 301-nucleotide ribosomal RNA is filed under the name uncultured bacterium. RNAcentral describes it as "partial 16S ribosomal RNA". It matches the Rfam family "Bacterial small subunit ribosomal RNA", at positions 512 to 810 of the family's 1533-position model. The record is from RNAcentral.
CAGCCGCGGGAAUACAGAGGGUGCGAGCGUUAAUCGGAUUUACUGGGCGUAAAGCGUGCGUAGGCGGCUUCUUAAGUCGGAUGUGAAAUCCCUGAGCUUAACUUAGGAAUUGCAUUCGAUACUGGGAAGCUAGAGUAUGGGAGAGGAUGGUAGAAUUCCAGGUGUAGCGGUGAAAUGCGUAGAGAUCUGGAGGAAUACCGAUGGCGAAGGCAGCCAUCUGGCCUAAUACUGACGCUGAGGUACGAAAGCAUGGGGAGCAAACAGGAUUAGAUACCCCAGUAGUCCCUGUCUCUUAUACACA